RNAcentral lists this ribosomal RNA (564 nucleotides) under uncultured bacterium. Its description in RNAcentral is "bacterial SSU rRNA". It matches the Rfam family "Bacterial small subunit ribosomal RNA", at positions 338 to 916 of the family's 1533-position model. The record is from RNAcentral.
CCUACGGGAGGCAGCAGUGGGGAAGUCUUGCGCAAUGGGCGAAAGCCUGACGCAGCAACGCCGCGUGCGGGAAGAAGGCUUUCGGGCUGUAAACCGCUUUCAGCAGGAACGAAAAUGACGGUACCUGCAGAAGAAGGAGCGGCCAACUAUGUGCCAGCAGCCGCGGUGAUACAUAGGCUUCAAGCGUUGUCCGGAUUUAUUGGGCGUAAAGAGUUCGUAGGCGGUCGAGUAAGUCGGGUGUGAAAAUUCUGGGCUCAACCCAGAGACGCCACCCGAUACUGCUUGACUUGAGUUCGAUAGGGGAGUGGGGAAUUCCUAGUGUAGCGGUGAAAUGCGCAGAUAUUAGGAGGAACACCGGUGGCGAAGGCGCCACUCUGGAUCGAUACUGACGCUGAGGAACGAAAGCAUGGGUAGCAAACAGGAUUAGAUACCCUGGUAGUCCAUGCCGUAAACGGUGGGCACUAGGUGUGGGUUUCUAUUAACGAAAUCCGCGCCGUCGCUAACGCAUUAAGUGCCCCGCCUGGGGAGUACGGUCGCAAGACUAAAACUCAAAGGAAUUGACGG